GCACUGCUGACGAGUCCCAAAGAGGACGAGACAGCUGUCCAGUGC
Non-coding RNA from Echinostoma caproni, 45 nucleotides. The record is from Rfam. Lineage: Eukaryota; Metazoa; Platyhelminthes; Trematoda; Plagiorchiida; Echinostomatidae.